GGCGGCCUGGGGAGGAGGAGGAAGAGGAGGGAGAGAUGUAAAACCUCAUGUGGAUUCUGCCAUUUGAAACCUUAAAAAUGUCACUUGCUGUCCCUGGACCUCAAUUGCUUAAGUGAUAUGUGGCUUCUGGGAUGGGGUCUUGCUGUGUUGCCCAGGCUGGUCCUGAACUCCUGAGCUCAAGGGAUCCUCCCGACUUGGCCUCUCAAAGUGCUGGGAUUACAGGUGUGAACCACUGCACCUGGCUUCAGGAAUUUUCUUAUUCUUUUGAGACAGGGUCUCACUCCAUUGGCCCAGGCUGGAAUGUAGUGGUGCCAUCUUGGCUCACUGCAACCUCCACCUCCUGGGCUCAAGCCAUCCUCCCACUUCAGCCUCCUGAGUAGCUGGAACCAGAGGUGCACGCCACCACACCUAGCUAAUUUUGUUUUGUUUUGUUUUGGUAGAGACAGGGUUUUGCCAUGUUGCCCCGGCUGGUUUCAGACUUCUGGCCUCAGCCCCCCAAAGCGCUGGGAUUACAUGCAUGAGCCACUACACCCGACCAGGAAAAUCUCUUAAUUAUCCAUCCAGAUUCACACAAGAAAUGGAAGACGGUUCCUUGAGGCCUGGGCAGGCUGGUUUUGUGGCCUGCCCACACACUGGCUCAGGGACUUUGCCGUUCUCACUGGGUCAGGUGGGAUGACAGAGCUCAGUGAGGGCACUCGAUUAGCCCAGCCCUGAAGGAAGGACGAGCAGCUCACCCCAUCUCAGUGCAGCCUGCGGCCCCCGCAAGGUGUCCUCCCUGGUUACUGCACCAUCUCACAGCCCUCUAGCCUCUGGGACUCAAAGGCAGGCUCCCUUGCUGUUUCAAGAUAACUUGACAACCCAGGAAAACCCUCAUGUCCCCCACUCCCACCUUUCCAAUUUUGGUUCCUGCCUUGCUUGCAUAAGGACGCUGUUCCCCCCCAACAAGCCCUGCCCAUCCAUGCUGUGCCUUCACCUGGGGGAUAUUCCAGGAAGCCUUCCCUGACCACCCUCAUGACGAUGACUUCCUAAGGGUGACGGUGACAAGUGCCAGCAGGCCAUCUGCACAGUGAAAGACACCAGUGCUUCUCCCCAUCUGCCCGCUGAGCACCCCCACUCUGUUUCUGGCCCCAACACCAGUUUCCCAAAGAUACUGUCCCCAUUCCAGUCACCAUUCUAGAUGCACCAUUCUAAAGGCGUGGGCAUUUAGCAGCAGGUACACUGAGGCUCUCAUUCUGGGGCUGCAACUUGCGCUAAGGCUUUGUGCCUCAGUUUCCUCAUCUGCAAAAUGAGAAUAAGCACCUGCGCUCCAGAUGGCCUUGUGCCAACUGCUUGGGAUGGCAGAUCUGGCCAGCUACCAGUGUUGCUUUCUUCCCUGCACCUUCCUGGGCUUUUCUGUCCUCACCCAGAGCGGGCGGUCCGGCUUGGAGGAGGGACUAACUGGCCGUGAAGGGGAGUCCACCCACCCGACUGCCCCUUCCCCUCAUCCCUGGAAGUUCCAUCUGAGACAGGGGGAUGGAGCUUCCCUGGGUCUAAGGGGCACUAGGCUCGCCACCCCCUCUUCCUUCGGGGCGCACCGGCAGAGGGCGGUCCGAUGAGCACAGCCGCGGCCUCCACGAGCAACACCAGGCCCAGCGCACUGGGGAAGCGGGGCGCGCCCACAGCCGCC
RNAcentral lists this long non-coding RNA (1666 nucleotides) under Homo sapiens (human). RNAcentral's name for it is "HSALNT0277790". The record is from RNAcentral. Lineage: Eukaryota; Metazoa; Chordata; Mammalia; Primates; Hominidae.